CCCUAAAUCUUUUCCCCCUACAGCCGCCUUCCCAAGCUCCCCAUCCCCUCCACUCCCUCGACAAUGGUGGCGGCGGCGCCCUCUGGUGGCGGAGGAGGAGGGGGGAGAUGGUGGCAGCGGCGCCCUCUGGUGGCGUAGGAGGAGUGUGGAGAUGGUGGCGCGGCGGCGACCUUCCCCUCACGCAUCCCAUCCCCCCUCGUCAUCCCGGAUCCCACCGGACCCGAGGCGUGCGGGCGCGGCAGCGACCUGCAAGGGAAGGGCGACGCUCGAAUCGAUCCAGCCAUGGAUCGGUCCCUGCGGGAGAAAGAGAAAAUGAGGGCCUCCGUGCUCAACAGGAGGAGCCGGGGUUGCUGAUCUGGCCGGCCCAGAUCCACACGCCUCCUCCUUCGGCCACCUCGCCCCACCAGCUUCCAGCGCCGUGGAUACGACGAAGAUGGAGGGCAGCAAGUGAGAGGGAGCAAGAGAAGAGGUGAAUCGAGGGAGUGAAAGAAGGAUCUCACAGGGGAAGCGGUGUAUCCUCGUCUCAUCCCUGGCUGCACCUCUUCUGAUGCCAUGGCACCAGUGGUGGCUCCUCGAUGGAGCACCUCCUUCCAUGACGGCAUCACCAGCGGCUCUUGCUCGACGCCACGACACACAACAUCGAGGCCACCCCUGAUGCUCAGGCUGAUGCUUCUUCGCUUGAUGCCGAAGAAAAGGAUGAUCAGAUUCAGACGCCCAAGAACAACAGCUACUAUGAAUAUUAUGAUUGAGCGACUGCUUGGCGAUGUCAUCGUCAGAGGCUCAAGCCUCCUCCCUGGACAAGGCACUCGUGCUAGGCGGCGGCGAUCUGUGCGCUGGUUCAAGAGGCGGUAAGACGGUCGCAAGAAUGCCAAGCUUUUCAGCUGUGGCAUCAUGCAAUAAUGGAAUUGAGCAUCCUGGCCAAAACAUAAAGGACAACGAAUAUGCAAGGUUGGUGACACCAGCUGAACAUGCAACAGCUGACAAGAAAUUUUGCCUGAGCAACCAAAGUUAAGACACUUCAUUUGGUGAAUGAAAGAUUUGCUUGGAGCUUCCAUCUUAUAUUAGCAUCUUAUAUCUUCGUGAAAUUUGGAGCCCCUUUGCCUUUGAAAAUGGUAGCGGUACUCUCUCUGCUGUGGCUGCGUGUUCGACCGGCCAGCCAAGGAUCUCCAACAAGCAUGUGCGCCUACUCUCCUUGCCCUUAAUUCCUGCCACAACAGCAGCUCCUGUGUAGUGUGAGCCAGAGAACUACUACACUAAUCAUGUUCCUGGCCUAGCAUGUGACAGUGGUGCCGCGAGGAUUUGCUGACGUGGGAGGAGGGGCCCGACCCAGAUGGCGGCCACCAGUAGGUCACACACUUAUUCAGCUCGCCGUUUGGUUACUCUGAUGGCUUCUCUAAGGUAUCUUCUCGUGCAGCUUCACUCUUGCUUGUGUGUCUCGCGUGAAAAAGUAAGCUACCUGGCACUUGCUCUACUCUGCUUUAGCAGGCGCUCGCAGAGGAGGCCAAGGGAUACAUGAUACUGGUAAUUUACUAAUGAUCCAUCUUAGUGGAAUGCUUUUGUUGUAGAUAUUUUCAUUGGUUGUCCUUUCAUUUUAUUUAUAUUCAUGGCUGGAUGGUGCCUUCCACUAUGCUUCUUCACUGAAAAGGUGUUUCGCAUAUGUGUACUUGCUUGAGAAUGGAAUGAUCUCAGAAUUCUGUUGAAAACAAAACUUAGUUAUUUCAGCAUGCAUAGUGUUUGGCUAUAGAGAUUGAGUGCUUCACAUAUCCGAUGCCAUCUCGGAAUAAUCUCAGACCUGUUUAAAUAACUUAGUGUUUGGCUAAGGAGUCCACAUUGAACGCCACAUAUCCGAUGCCAACACACCGAGGUGAGCUUCAGCAAACUCUCUCUCUCUCUCUCUCCAAUCAGACAUGUGAAUAUUUACCAGAGUGCUUCAAGAUCGAUCCGACGAAAGCCGUCCACUGCCACUCUGCUGUUGGGACUAAUUUGGACGGGAAUGGUGAUUUCAUGGUUGAUUAUGAUUACUUGGUUGUUGCUCUUGGAGUUACUGUGAAUACAUUCAACACUCCUGGUGUGAUGGGGCAUUGCCACUUUCUGAAGGUCAAAUCCUUAAUUGGCAUUGUGUGUCUCUUUACUGUUCUGCUAUUUCUCAUGUUUCAAUCCUAAGAUGUAAGUUACAGUUUAAUUUCCUGCUAAAUCUUGAGAUAUAUGGUAUUGAUACUUUAGGUUAUUUUACCGUACAGUAUUAGUCAUAUCUUGUGCUUACAGCCUCACAUUGUAAAUGUCAGGUCAUGGAGGAUGCCCAAAAGAUUCGGAAGAGCGUGAUAGACUACUUUGAAAAGGCGUCACCUCCUAACCUCAGUGAAGAGGAGAGAAGGAAGAUCCUUCACUUUGUGAUUAUCGGUGGUGGACCUACUGGGGUUGAAUUUGCGGUGGAGUUGCAUGAUUUUCUUGUCGAAGAUCUGGUGAAGCUAUAUCCUGCAAUUAAAGAAUUUGUGAAGAUAACAAUUAUGCAAUCAGGAGAACAUACAAUGAGGGUUGAACGUUCCUGCAGUAAUAACCUUAGUUUUGGGCAAGAUGAUCAAGGAGUAGCGAAACUUUAGCAGUCAUCUUUGGCUUCACCAUCUUCCUCCCCUGAUCAUGCAUCUAUUUUAGAUCAUAUAAUUAUGCUAUAUCAUAUAUAUUGUUUAGUUCAGACUUGUGCAUGUGCGUCCAUUGGCAUUGAUUUAUACAGAGAUAUUGCAUGAUUUGUACAUAAAAGGAGUACGGAUGAUCUAAGAAUAAAUGUUCAAAUAAAGUUAGUAGUGAGAUUUAGGUAAAGGUUACCUGCACUGUUCUGUUUUAUGUAGAUUCUAAGCUGCAAAAUCAUACAUGGCCCUGUUAGUAGUUUGUCUGAGUUGUGAGUUUACGCAUUUUCCCUUGGAA
Molecule: ribosomal RNA, 2922 nt
Filed under: Triticum aestivum (bread wheat)
Lineage: Eukaryota; Viridiplantae; Streptophyta; Magnoliopsida; Poales; Poaceae
Description: partial small subunit ribosomal RNA
Source: RNAcentral